RNAcentral lists this ribosomal RNA (489 nucleotides) under uncultured bacterium. Its description in RNAcentral is "bacterial SSU rRNA". It matches the Rfam family "Bacterial small subunit ribosomal RNA", at positions 19 to 518 of the family's 1533-position model. The record is from RNAcentral.
AUGGCUCAGGAUGAACGCUGGCGGCGUGCUUAACACAUGCAAGUCGAACGGAGCCUAGCGAGUGCUGCACUUGCGAAAGCUAGUGGCGGACGGGUGAGUAACGCGUGGGUAACCUGCCCUGUACUGGGGGAUAACAGCCGGAAACGGCUGCUAAUACCGCAUAAGCCCACAUGGCCGCAUGGCCAAGGGGGAAAAAACUCCGGUGGUACAGGAUGGACCCGCGUCUGAUUAGCUAGUUGGUGAGGUAACGGCCCACCAAGGCGACGAUCAGUAGCCGGCCUGAGAGGGUGAACGGCCACAUUGGGACUGAGACACGGCCCAAACUCCUACGGGAGGCAGCAGUGGGGAAUAUUGCACAAUGGGGGAAACCCUGAUGCAGCGACGCCCGCGUGAGCGAUGAAGUAUUUCGGUAUGUAAAGCUCUAUCAGCAGGGAAGAAAAUGACGGUACCUGACUAAGAAGCACCGGCUAAAUACGUGCCAGCAGCAGC